Molecule: unclassified non-coding RNA, 240 nt
Filed under: soil metagenome
Description: partial contains 5.8S ribosomal RNA, internal transcribed spacer 2, and large subunit ribosomal RNA
Source: RNAcentral
AACCAUAGAAACCUGCGGAGUACCUGCGGAGGGAUCAUUAUAGAGUGGUAAACCUCCCGUAAAAAGGGAGGGACCUCCCGUCCUUUGUAGGCUCCUUUUUAAGGGGCUUUUUUGACUUUCUGCUUCGGUGGGGUUAUCCUACCGGAACACCCUCAAAACUCUGAUCAAAAAAUUGUUCUGUCCGAGGGCUUUUUUAUACUAAAAAAAAAACUUUUAACAAUGGAUCUCAGAUCGGAAGAG